Molecule: small nuclear RNA, 21 nt
Filed under: Arabidopsis thaliana (thale cress)
Lineage: Eukaryota; Viridiplantae; Streptophyta; Magnoliopsida; Brassicales; Brassicaceae
Description: snRNA_01266
Source: RNAcentral
CAGCUGAUGAUUCUAGUGGUG